GCCCCCGCCUGGUGGCGUCUCCUGCCCGCAGCUCCGCGCAGCCCCAGGAUUACGGUGGGAUCAUGGCAGGGCUGGGCUCCGAUCCCUGGUGGAAGAAAACCCUUUACUUGACCGGGGGAGCUUUGCUGGCCGCAGCUGCGUAUCUGCUCCACGAACUCCUGGUCAUUAGGAAACAGCAAGAGAUUGACUCUAAAGAUGCUAUUAUUUUGCAUCAGUUUGCAAGACCUAACAAUGGUGUUCCCAGUUUAUCUCCUUUCUGUUUAAAGAUGGAAACUUAUUUAAGGAUGGCUGACUUACCGUAUCAGAACUAUUUUGGUGGAAAACUCUCUGCUCAAGGGAAAAUGCCUUGGAUUGAAUAUAAUCAUGAAAAAGUUUCUGGCACAGAAUUCAUAAUUGACUUUCUGGAAGAGAAACUUGGAGUGAAUUUAAACAAAAACCUUGGCCCUCAUGAAAGAGCCAUCUCCAGAGCGGUGACCAAGAUGGUGGAGGAGCACUUCUACUGGACGUUAGCUUAUUGCCAGUGGGUGGACAAUCUCAAUGAGACCCGGAAGAUGCUCUCUCUUAGUGGUGGUGGUCCCUUCAGCAACCUGCUGAGGUGGGUCGUGUGCCACAUAACGAAAGGAAUUGUGAAACGCGAGAUGCACGGCCACGGCAUUGGCCGCUUCUCCGAGGAAGAGAUUUACAUGC
Molecule: small RNA, 687 nt
Filed under: Pongo abelii (Sumatran orangutan)
Lineage: Eukaryota; Metazoa; Chordata; Mammalia; Primates; Hominidae
Description: processed transcript
Source: RNAcentral